GGGGUGUGGUGUUUGAGUAUUGGAUAGUGGUUGCGAGCAUCUAAAUGAAUGCGUUGCCGGCAACGGUUGCGUGUUCGUUUUGUGUAAUUUUAUUUCUUUUGGUUUU
RNAcentral lists this unclassified non-coding RNA (106 nucleotides) under Mycobacterium montefiorense. RNAcentral's name for it is "partial 16S-23S ribosomal RNA intergenic spacer". Lineage: Bacteria; Bacillati; Actinomycetota; Actinomycetes; Mycobacteriales; Mycobacteriaceae. The record is from RNAcentral.